RNAcentral lists this ribosomal RNA (497 nucleotides) under uncultured bacterium. Its description in RNAcentral is "partial 16S ribosomal RNA". It matches the Rfam family "Bacterial small subunit ribosomal RNA", at positions 28 to 507 of the family's 1533-position model. The record is from RNAcentral.
GAUGAACGCUGGCGGUGUGCCUAAUACAUGCAAGUCGAGCGACAGGACAAGAAGAUCUCUCUCUUGCGGUUAGCGGCUGACGGGCGAGUAACACGUGGAUAACAAACUUCUAUUACUGGGAUGAUUUCGGGAAAACACAGCUGCUACUACCUCAUAUAUCCUACCGCUUGGUUCAAUAGUGCUUCACACCUUUCCCGUCACAUUUAGCUGGUUUCGCGCCGCAUUAGCUAGUUGGUAAGGUAACGGCUUACCAAGGCAACGAUGCGUAGCCGAGCUGAGAGGGUGAUCGGCCACACUGGAACUGAGACACGGUCCAGACUCCUACGGGAGGCAGCAGUGGGGAAUCUUCGGCAAUGGGCGAAAGCCUGACGGAGCAAUGCCGCGUGAGUGAUGAAGGUCUUCGGGUCGUAAAGCUCUGUUAUUAGGGAAGAACAGAAGUGGGUGUAACUAUGGACGUCUUGACGGUACCUAAUCAGAAAGCCACGGCUAACUUCGUG